GAUGAACGCUGGCGGCGUGCCUAAUACAUGCAAGUCGAGCGAACGGACGAGAAGCUUGCUUCUCUGAUGUUAGCGGCGGACGGGUGAGUAACACGUGGAUAACCUACCUAUAAGACUGGGAUAACUUCGGGAAACCGGAGCUAAUACCGGAUAAUAUUUUGAACCGCAUGGUUCAAAAGUGAAAGACGGUCUUGCUGUCACUUAUAGAUGGAUCCGCGCUGCAUUAGCUAGUUGGUAAGGUAACGGCUUACCAAGGCAACGAUGCAUAGCCGACCUGAGAGGGUGAUCGGCCACACUGGAACUGAGACACGGUCCAGACUCCUACGGGAGGCAGCAGUAGGGAAUCUUCCGCAAUGGGCGAAAGCCUGACGGAGCAACGCCGCGUGAGUGAUGAAGGUCUUCGGAUCGUAAAACUCUGUUAUUGGGGAAGAACAUAUGUGUAAGUAACUGUGCACAUCUUGACGGUACCUAAUCAGAAAGCCACGGCUAACUACGUGUCAGCAGCCGCGGUAAUACGUAGGUGGCAAGCGUUAUCCGGAAUUAUUGGGCGUAAAGCGCGCGUAGGCGGUUUUUUAAGUCUGAUGUGAAAGCCCACGGCUCAACCGUGGAGGGUCAUUGGAAACUGGAAAACUUGAGUGCAGAAGAGGAAAGUGGAAUUCCAUGUGUAGCGGUGAAAUGCGCAGAGAUAUGGAGGAACACCAGUGGCGAAGGCGACUUUCUGGUCUGUAACUGACGCUGAUGUGCGAAAGCGUGGGGAUCAAACAGGAUUAGAUACCCUGGUAGUCCACGCCGUAAACGAUGAGUGCUAAGUGUUAGGGGGUUUCCGCCCCUUAGUGCUGCAGCUAACGCAUUAAGCACUCCGCCUGGGGAGUACGACCGCAAGGUUGAAACUCAAAGGAAUUGACGGGGACCCGCACAAGCGGUGGAGCAUGUGGUUUAAUUCGAAGCAACGCGAAGAACCUUACCAAAUCUUGACAUCCUUUGACAACUCUAGAGAUAGAGCUUUCCCCUUCGGGGGACAAAGUGACAGGUGGUGCAUGGUUGUCGUCAGCUCGUGUCGUGAGAUGUUGGGUUAAGUCCCGCAACGAGCGCAACCCUUAAGCUUAGUUGCCAUCAUUAAGUUGGGCACUCUAAGUUGACUGCCGGUGACAAACCGGAGGAAGGUGGGGAUGACGUCAAAUCAUCAUGCCCCUUAUGAUUUGGGCUACACACGUGCUACAAUGGACAAUACAAAGGGCAGCGAAACCGCGAGGUCAAGCAAAUCCCAUAAAGUUGUUCUCAGUUCGGAUUGUAGUCUGCAACUCGACUACAUGAAGCUGGAAUCGCUAGUAAUCGUAGAUCAGCAUGCUACGGUGAAUACGUUCCCGGGUCU
RNAcentral lists this ribosomal RNA (1372 nucleotides) under uncultured bacterium. Its description in RNAcentral is "bacterial SSU rRNA". It matches the Rfam family "Bacterial small subunit ribosomal RNA", at positions 28 to 1381 of the family's 1533-position model. The record is from RNAcentral.